UGAUGCCUUAUAUAUUCUGACAAACACAAAAACCAUACCCACUAUUGUCUGAAUCCCAUAACAACCGUCUAGGGAUGAAUUACUAAAGCUAAUUCUAAAAAAUGGCUUACUAAUAAUGAAAAGCUCCAUAAUAAUUCUCAUCCAAUUCAAGCUUCUAAGCCUACUUUUCAUAAACAGGUAGAUGGAAUUGUUAAAACAGUAUUUAAAACUCUAGAUGAUGCCUCCAACUCUUCGG
This 235-nucleotide unclassified non-coding RNA is filed under the name Hevea brasiliensis (rubber tree). Lineage: Eukaryota; Viridiplantae; Streptophyta; Magnoliopsida; Malpighiales; Euphorbiaceae. The record is from RNAcentral.